CUGAGGAGAAUACCCCGGAGUCUGGGCAGCACAGGGGGCCCAGGGAGGCUGGAGGAGGCCAGAACGCUGGGUGGGCUGGGAAGAGCUUCUGGAGCUGGGGGAGGGGCUGCUGCUAGGGGGCUGAGGCCCAGGCUUCUGUCUGGCUGUGGGUGCCUGCUAAUUGCCCCUCGUCACCCAGACCGACAUCGUGAAAGCCAUCGCCCGCCUCAUUGAGUUCUAUAAGCACGAGAGCUGUGGCCAGUGUACCCCAUGUCGUGAGGGUGAGCAUCGGGCAGGUUGGGGGUCUGCUCGCUGUGGCUUCAUUUAACCUCCACCCCACCGCGUGGCCUGUACCCCUCAAGCGCCGCCCCACAUCCUGGCUGGGGAGAUCAUCAGGCCCUCUCUUGUGGCUGUGGCUGCAGGUGUGGACUGGAUGAACAAGGUGAUGGCACGUUUCGUGAGGGGGGACGCCCAGCCGGCCGAGAUCGAUUCCCUGUGGGAGAUCAGCAAGCAGAUAGAAGGCCAUACGAUUUGUGCUCUGGGUGACGGGGCCGCCUGGCCUGUGCAGGGUCUGAUCCGCCACUUUCGGCCGGA
This 573-nucleotide small RNA is filed under the name Pongo abelii (Sumatran orangutan). RNAcentral describes it as "retained intron". The record is from RNAcentral. Lineage: Eukaryota; Metazoa; Chordata; Mammalia; Primates; Hominidae.